UAUUAUACCGAGGCUAUUGGUUCUAGUGGGGAACAGCCACUAGAGGUAAGGGGGAAAGUUUGGUGUCAGUCCAACGCUGUCCCGCAACUGUGAUGAAAUUUUGAGCAAAAAUCGAAUAUUUCUUAGUCAGAAUACCCGCCAAUUAUUUAGCCAAAUU
Molecule: non-coding RNA, 157 nt
Filed under: Rippkaea orientalis PCC 8801
Lineage: Bacteria; Bacillati; Cyanobacteriota; Cyanophyceae; Chroococcales; Aphanothecaceae
Also listed under: 1 other name
Source: RNAcentral